This is a non-coding RNA of Salvelinus sp. IW2-2015, 2128 nucleotides long. The record is from RefSeq and is a predicted model, not a curated record. Lineage: Eukaryota; Metazoa; Chordata; Actinopteri; Salmoniformes; Salmonidae.
GUCCAAACUUGUGAACCAUAGAUGUCUAUGAUUGGUUCAGAUUUGAUCUGGUCUGGACCAAAUUUGAACCAAUCACAGACAGCUAUGUUUCGGGUCAAAUCUGAACCAAUCAUAGACGUCUAUGUUUGGGCCAAAUAUAGGCCAGUCUGGACCGGACGUCUGUGGACGUUGAAAUCAAAGCCAGUUCAGACCGGACCAAAGCAGAACUCAACUUAGACUAGCUAGCUACUUUUGAAGUGAAGCUAGCUAGCAGCUAAAAGAGUCUAUAAGAAACAUUUGUCUCUGGGUGCUCUGGAGCCAAAAGGUGUCCCCCAAUGGACAGAAAUAUUGUCCAGAAAGUAUCUAAUUGGACAGAAAGCUACACAUCUGAACUCCCUACACUCAUUACCAGCAGUCAAGGCAAACCUGAGUCAAGGGAUGCUUGACUUCAACGGCGAUUGGCUGAAACGGACAAAUCUCUGACCGUCAAUUAACAGCUACACCAUUUCACAGUCAGCAGCAGCUACCAAAACAGACUCGGUGUCGGAGAGCCAGAAAGGUACAUGUUGGACUAUAGGAAGAAGAUUCUAGCCAUCCGCUCCAAGGAGAAUACUGUAAGGUAUCCUGAGAGUGUCUGACAGCUUAACAAAACCUCAAUACCCUCCAACUGCGUGGUCUUCCAUUGAGAGAGAUAGACUUUCUCACUCUCACCAAGGUAGCAAGUUGCAGAUGCACAUUCACCUGAACCAACCUAAGGUGCCGCAGUGCACCCACUAACACUCCUUUGUUGUUACUCACCAGGGUUUAGCCAAAAGUGUCUCUUUGGAAAAUAUCUACUUGGCUCACUGUGUUAAGGCUACAUCAACAUGUUUACAUGAUCUGUUUGUGUUCUCUCUAAUUUGUGUUUUCUAAUGUUCAGCUAUCUGCCAGAGCUCUGUUUCCCUCUAAUGGUGAUGGCGAGUAUGACAUACUCAGAGAAGAUCUGUAUUGAAGUCAUUACACAUUCAACAAUUGCAUGGGCAGAAUCAUGCAUCCUUAUUGUGUGGUAUUUGGGGUUGUGUGUGUGAGCUCCCGUUGACUGACCUCUCCCCUGCACUGCAGCAUCAAGCCAUGCGUAGGCACAGUGCAGCCUAGGCCGCGUCUCGGAGGUACCGAAGGCCUGAAUUUGAGGGCAUGGGAGGCCUCCACUGGGUCACUCAACUGCAACACCCUGGUGGGAGACAAAGUGGCGGCCGGCCCUUGCACAGGAGCUUGCUGAGGACCUCUGGGUCAAAGACGUGGAUCUGCAGAAGUGUGGGUUGUCCAACGAGAGGGCACUGUCUCUGCUGGAGGCUCUGAAGUCCAACUCCACUCUCUGUGUCCUUGACAUCAGGUGGAACCGCUUAAUGGACAACGAGCUGGUGAAGAUUGUGAUCGAAAGAGUUCUCAUAAACGCUAACGGUCAAUCCUCUCAGUACUCCUGGAUCAAGCCCUCGGCCCUCAAAGACCAGAGUUCAGGUGUUUCUCAGCAGCCACGCCCCAGAGCCAGCAGGUGUAUCCCGUUGCGCACUGCUAAACGCACUGGACGACAGAGGUGAGGGCAGUCGUCAAGGAGGAGCAGUAAAAUGAUCCCAUUGAAUUAAUGGAAAUCUCAUGUCUUCCUACAGGACGAAACGUGUAUCUUUAUAACAAUAAUAAAGAAUAAAGACUGAAGUCAACUUCCAUUGUCCUCCAUGAGUGCCUGAAUAUUCUCAAGUUUAAUGUUUUAUUAGAAGCAUGUACAGGAGUCACAUGGUAUACACUGUCCAACAAAAUGCUUACAUGCAGUUUCCUUCUCAACAAUGCAACAAUAAGUUGCAUAAUAAAAGAUAAGAAUACAAGCAUAAAGUAACCCUUAGUUCUCUUUAAUGUCCUCCUGUCUUGACAGAGGGCUUCCUCCAGGCAAUACAGUGGCAGAGCUUUGUGGUAAGCAAUCCAUUUCUCAUAUGAUUAGAGACUAAUUCUGACACAGUGCACAUCCUUACAGUGUGGCGUUUUAAAACGUGACUACUUCAAACUGCAGUGCAUCCCAUGAUUGGCUCAUGUUUGUUUUUCCACAGAAAAAAAAUGUAUGCUCUCCAACAAAUUAAAAUAAUACAAAUGUUUGCAUGUUAUUUUGAAAUUAAUACGU